This 221-nucleotide long non-coding RNA is filed under the name Helianthus annuus (common sunflower). RNAcentral describes it as "hypothetical non coding rna". Lineage: Eukaryota; Viridiplantae; Streptophyta; Magnoliopsida; Asterales; Asteraceae. The record is from RNAcentral.
GGUGGCACACAAAAGCCUACGGUGCCUUUAUACUGCCUUACGGAGGAGAAAUGACCAUCAGUACCUACCGUUGCUUACAGUGGCUACCUGGCUACCGUAAGCUACGGUAGAGCCUAGUUCAGCCAACCUUUGUUCUCUAUUUUUACAUUUGUAUACAACCGUUAGACACCCGAACUUCUUUCUUCUCCGUUUUUCACGCUUCCAAUAUGUAAAAUAAUCAU